GCCCAGGUGGCGAAAUUGGUAGACGCACAGGACUUAAAAUCCUGGGCCCGUAAAAAGGCGUGUGGGUUCGACUCCCACCCCGGGCA
This 86-nucleotide transfer RNA is filed under the name Candidatus Scatoplasma merdavium. Its description in RNAcentral is "tRNA-Leu". It matches the Rfam family "tRNA". Rfam says of the family: Transfer RNA (tRNA) molecules are approximately 80 nucleotides in length. Lineage: Bacteria; Bacillati; Bacillota; Bacilli; Caryophanales. The record is from RNAcentral.